Molecule: long non-coding RNA, 1147 nt
Filed under: Scleropages formosus (Asian bonytongue)
Lineage: Eukaryota; Metazoa; Chordata; Actinopteri; Osteoglossiformes; Osteoglossidae
Description: lncRNA (ENSSFOG00015028336.1)
Source: RNAcentral
GAGUUACGAGUAGAAAUUUUGCGUGUGGGCACAUAUCCGCCUGUGUAAACUCUUCCAUAUACCGCACACUUACUCUUUUUACCUGUUCAGGCAGUACUAGCCUGUCGAAAGUGCCUUUGAAGCCCCCGUUUACACCUGCCCUGCGGAUGUCUGAGGGACACGGGGAAUCCAGAUGUUUCGCCGCUCGGAACAUCCUCUACUGACCGCUCGCGAGCCGCCUAAAUGUGGGCAAUAGCAGGAAAACAGAAGGGCCCCCUUGGCUACGACGUCGCACCUCGGAGUUCGGCCGUGAAUUUCCCCGAUUCUCCAUAAAAGCCAAAUGUGAGUCCCGUCGGGCGAGAAAUUGUGAAAUCCACCAAAAUUCUACGGUAAAGGCAGCGUAAACAAAAUAUUUUUCUUUCCUAUUCACAGGUAUUCAGAUAUGUGAGUGAAAUCAAGUUUAAAAAAAGCGUAAACUGCUGAUAUAUGGAGAUAAGCGGUAGAUAAGACAAAGGCAACGUUUUUUUGUGUAUUUCUGGUCAAGUGCAACACACAUAUAAUGGAGAGGCCGACGUCUUUGUCUCGAGCUCUAGUGCGGGGAGCGCGAACGGUGCCCGCGUUACUCUUUUCGUCCGACGGCUCGUGUCGUCCCGAAGGUCGCGGGUUCCCGCGGGUAUCUUCCCUCCAUCCUGGCCGCCGGUUCCGAAGCCGCGGAGACGUGCGGGAGACCGGCGGCUCGUCCGCCGAGGAGGAGGCCUGCGAGACGGCAUCGGGGACUUUGUCCCGGUCGCUCCGGUCUGAGCGGGAACCGGCGGCCGAGUCGUCCGGGAAAGGAAAGCGACGCCCCGCACGUUGGCGGGCGACCCGAAGGGCGGCGCCUGGAAACGGGACCCGAGGCGAGCCGGCACGGGCGGAGCGGCGCCGUACCCUCUCCACCGAACGAUGCCGGUUCGGAGAACUUCCCACCUCGUUCGCCUGUCGGUUCAAUCAAUUCGGGAGCAGAUCGACCGGAAGAGGCAAAGGCAGAAAAUUGCAAAGAGCGACAAAAAGAAACACGCAAGUAAGUGCACGGAAGGUCACGUGCGGCCAGUUCACCUCGAAGGGUAUGAAAUCUCUGCAUAUAAAGACAUUGGGAGUGAAGACUUAUGCAAACUGCACAUCAAACUGA